Molecule: ribosomal RNA, 468 nt
Filed under: uncultured bacterium
Lineage: Bacteria
Description: partial 16S ribosomal RNA
Rfam family: Bacterial small subunit ribosomal RNA
Source: RNAcentral
GACGAACGCUGGCGGCGUGCUUAACACAUGCAAGUCGAACGGAAAGGCCCUGCUUUUGUGGGGUGCUCGAGUGGCGAACGGGUGAGUAACACGUGAGUAACCUGCCCUUGACUUUGGGAUAACUUCAGGAAACUGGGGCUAAUACCGGAUAGGAGCUCCUGCUGCAUGGUGGGGGUUGGAAAGUUUCGGCGGUUGGGGAUGGACUCGCGGCUUAUCAGCUUGUUGGUGGGGUAGUGGCUUACCAAGGCUUUGACGGGUAGCCGGCCUGAGAGGGUGACCGGCCACAUUGGGACUGAGGUACGGCCCAGACUCCUACGGGAGGCAGCAGUGGGGAAUAUUGCACAAUGGGCGGAAGCCGGAUGCAGCAACGCCGCGUGCGGGAUGACGGCCGUCGGGUUGUAAACCGCUUUCGCCUGUGACGAAGCGUGAGUGACGGUAAUGGGUAAAGAAGCACCGGCUAACUACGUG